Molecule: RNA transcript, 1309 nt
Organism: Ornithodoros turicata
Lineage: Eukaryota; Metazoa; Arthropoda; Arachnida; Ixodida; Argasidae
Exons: 4
Source: RefSeq, a predicted model, not a curated record
AUGACGUCAAGCGAACCCGUUUGGACUCCAUGGUGGUGGUCACUUUUCGGCGCAGCUGCCGGACUUAUCUAGCAUUCUAGUGUUGAAAUCCGGACGCGUCCGUACCCCUCUUUUAUCCCAAAGGCGCUUCGUCAUUGUCGUUCUCACAUUUUCUUUUAUGAAAACUAUGGUUGUCGCAUCGAAAAAUAGCGCAGUUUGUCAUCUUGCAAUGCCGCUAGCACGAAAAGUGACCAUCAGUGGGAGGAGCUUUCGAGCAUGUCACGUCACUGCACGUCACGCAAUGACGUCAUGCACAUGUGGUCCCGCCCACUGGUGGUCACGCUUCUGCAGCUAGCUGAACUGUGUCCUCGUGGUAUUUGUUUUUGUACGCGACGCUAUGGUAAACUGCGCUAUUUACGGUUGUAACGAGAGAAGUUUCCGCAAGAAAAAGAGGAAGAGUGAAGAGGAAGACGAGGAUUCACGUGAGACCUCGCUGGUAAACGAAUAUUUGCAAAAUGACGAUGACGAAAAUGUUGCAGAAGAGGAGGAGCGACGAGUGGCUCUCACGCAUCAACCGAAAAGACAUGCAAGCAAGUGCCACCCAUUACAGAAUUUGUAGCAAACACUUCAUAUCUGGUGAGCUGAUGUUUUGAUCUGGUAUGCUUCGCAUUACGUGCAAAAGUAUUCAGUCUUUACCUGAUAUGAGCGGCAGCGACAGCUAGAGUUUAGAAGAACAUAACUAGGCCAGUUUCAGGUGAACCACCACUUCUGUACGAUGUCAACAACCCGUACUGGGCACCAAGCGUCCAGCUUGGUCACAACAAGUGACUGCACUGUAAUUUAGACAGAUACAGUAGGCGCAAGAAUAGGGCAGCAUGCCAGGCAGGAGUUGCAAGGCACCUCACAGAACCCAAAAAUGUGCCUGUGGCUGACAGUGCUGGUACAGACACAGAAGCAUCAGAGUGUGGACUCAGUUGAGAUGAUGAAGACGGGCAACUACAGGAUGCGCUUUCACAUGACAAGGCAAUUGCAUCGGAAAUCUCCAUGGCUGAUAUUCUCCGACUUGAAGAAGAAAUCCGAAGGUUAAACCACGAGGUCUACAAGCUGAAGGCACAUAUGGCACAUACGAGAAAUGACACAAGCGUAUUUUCAGAAUAACUCUGCUGCAGUGAAGUUUUACUCUGGACUUCCCAACUAUGCAAUGUUGCUUACAGUUUUCGAUUUGGUUGAGAACCAUGUCCACCAUACAUCUUGCAAUUCUUUGACGAAAUUUCAGGAGAUAAUGUUAACUUUGGUUCGGCUUUGUUUAAACGCGCCUCUUCAAGAUCUC